UUUUUUUGUAGCCCUGCGAGUGAAGGCCACAGUAACCACCCUAAUUGCAGCAGCUUUAUUUCCCCUUUACAAAACCACACUCACCCUUGCUAUCUGUGACACUUAUCAUAGCUGCUAAGCCGAUGCUAGGUGCUAAACCACGAGUCCGAUUUUGCGGACACCCUUUUGUACUGUUAAUGUUUCCUGGAAUCGAUGCACUAGAAAGUAAUCAACUAUCAUUGGACCUGUGUGAUUUUGAGGGUCGCUUGAGGAGCCUGGAGCCUAUCCCAGGGAACUCAGGGCACAGGACAGGGGUUCACCCUGGAUAGGGUGCCAGCCCAUCGCACAAGCACACACAUUCACACACUACGGACAAUUUGGAAAUGCCAGUCAGCCUACAACAGAUGUCUUUGGACUGGGGGAGGAAACCUCUGAAGCACAGGGAGAACAUGCAAACUUUAUGCACACAGGGCGGAGGUGGGAGUCGAACCCCCAACCAAGGUUCCUGAGAAGAGUUUUGGGCCUUUAUUGAGGGAUUAGAGCAAAUCCAUCCGAGCAGACAGGAUUGGGAGGCGACUCCCUGAAGAGACGGGCCUUUCUCUUCCCAUCAUCACUGGCAGCUCCUCAAAUGUGGUGUGGAAAUAACAGACACAUAUCCACCACCAUGGAGCCCUUUUAUAUGGAUAUAUCAUCCGAGUGAUGUAUGCUGAUGUAUGCUAAAUCGUUCGGGAGUGAGCGAGUUAGCACUGACAUUGUCGCCGCUUCUGUUCUCAAGAUGUAGCUAUAGCCGUGGCUAUUGAUGUUGGAGAAUUAGAAUUUCAGAGUGCUCAUUGGCUCACUUCCCUCCCUUCCUUUCUCACUUAGCAUUCACAGAAGACAACAGGGCCUACAGCCAAAGCCCUCCAUCUUUCUUUCUCUCUGUCCUUUGUUUUUCUUCCCCCUCCCCCCCCUCAUGGUGACAGUGCUCAUGUCUGCGUUUGCCUCUUUUGAUAAGGCCUUUCAUCCUGUUUGCAUUGAUUGCUGCUUGACGAGUUGCCCUGAUACGCCACGGUCCAUUCAGGGCCCCCGAGCGGCAUACUGGAGCUAUUGUGGACAGGAAUGUGUCUCUUUUCAGGGCUGGAGCCCACAAAUGAAAGCAUGUCAAUAAUCCCGAGACACCGGUGCUGCACAAUGCAGACAUGCCACACAGAGUCAGGCCUCCUUUUUCUGCUCCACUACCGGGGAAAUCAGGCGAAGAUGAGCGAGAGAGAGAGAGAGAGAGAGAGAGAGAGAGAGAGAGAGAAGUGUCCCCCCCAUGCUGAGGAUAAUCCUACCAGCUAUCAGUUAGAACCACAUUACCAUGCAAGCACACUGAGAGCUUUUUGGUAGAACAGGCUACAGAGGUGUGAAUCAUUCACAGAGAUUCUGUCAAAUUAUGGUUGGAUAUGCACAGUAUGCAUCACCACUUUCUGAUGCUCGCUCGUCACAGAUAAAUCGCCUUCAUCCCUUGAGAAAGUGUCAUUUUUGUACUCGAGAAAGAACUAGCUAUCGACAUGCAGGCUGCUGUUGUAAAUGAUGGAUCUUGUGUUUGUGGCUUUACACCAUAGUUUGUGUAAAUGGUAAUUAGAAAAGCAGAACGGGAAAACGGCAGUCAUGCUGAGAAUCAGG
This is a long non-coding RNA of Ictalurus punctatus (channel catfish), 1626 nucleotides long. The record is from Ensembl. NCBI's taxonomy places the organism in Eukaryota, Metazoa, Chordata, Actinopteri, Siluriformes, Ictaluridae.